GAUGAACGCUGGCGGCGUGCUUAACACAUGCAAGUCGAACGAAGAUGCCGGAGUGCUUGCACUUUGGCAGACUGAGUGGCGGACGGGUGAGUAACGCGUGGGUAACCUGCCUUAUACAGGGGGAUAACAGUUGGAAACGACUGCUAAUACCGCAUAAGCGCACGGUAUCGCAUGAUACAGUGUGAAAAACUCCGGUGGUAUAAGAUGGACCCGCGUCUGAUUAGCUAGUUGGUGAGGUAACGGCUCACCAAGGCGACGAUGCGUAGCCGACCUGAGAGGGUGAUCGGCCACAUUGGGACUGAGACACGGCCCAGACUCCUACGGGAGGCAGCAGUGGGGAAUAUUGCACAAUGGGGGAAACCCUGAUGCAGCAACGCCGCGUGAGUGAUGACGGCCUCGGUGUAAAGCUCUGUCUUCAGGGACGAUAAUGACGGUACCGUGAGGAGGAAGCACGGCUAACU
RNAcentral lists this ribosomal RNA (461 nucleotides) under uncultured bacterium. RNAcentral's name for it is "bacterial SSU rRNA". It matches the Rfam family "Bacterial small subunit ribosomal RNA", at positions 28 to 502 of the family's 1533-position model. The record is from RNAcentral.